Molecule: ribosomal RNA, 468 nt
Filed under: uncultured bacterium
Lineage: Bacteria
Description: partial 16S ribosomal RNA
Rfam family: Bacterial small subunit ribosomal RNA
Source: RNAcentral
GACGAACGCUGGCGGUGUGCUUAACACAUGCAAGUCGAACGGUAAGGCCCUUUCGGGGGUACACGAGUGGCGCACGGGUGAGUAACACGUGAGUAACCUGCCCUCAUCUCUGGGAUAACAGUCGGAAACGGUUGCUAAUACUGGAUAUGAGCUUGCAAGGCAUCUUGUGGGUUGGAAAGAUUUUUUUUGGUUGGGGAUGGACUCGCGGCCUAUCAGCUUGUUGGUGAGGUAGUGGCUCACCAAGGCUUCGACGGGUAGCCGGCCUGAGAGGGCGACCGGCCACAUUGGGACUGAGAUACGGCCCAAACUCCUACGGGAGGCAGCAGUGGGGAAUAUUGCACAAUGGACGGAAGUCUGAUGCAGCAACGCCGCGUGCGGGAUGACGGCCUUCGGGUUGUAAACCGCUUUCAAUUGUGACGAAGCUUUUUUGUGACGGUAGCAGGAGAAGAAGCACCGGCUAACUACGUG